GAUGAACGCUGGCGGCGUGCCUAAUACACGCAAGUCGAACGCACAGCGAAAGGUGCUUGCACCUUUCAAGUGAGUGGCGAACGGGUGAGUAACACGUGGACAACCUGCCUCAAGGCUGGGGAUAACAUUUGGAAACAGAUGCUAAUACCGAAUAAAACUCAGUGUCGCAUGACACAAAGUUAAAAGGCGCUUUGGCGUCACCUAGAGAUGGAUCCGCGGUGCAUUAGUUAGUUGGUGGGGUAAAGGCCUACCAAGACAAUGAUGCAUAGCCGAGUUGAGAGCCUGAUCGGCCAACUUGGGAAUGAGACACGGCCCAAACUCCUACGGGAGGCUGCAGUAGGGAAUCUUCCACAAUGGGCGAAAGCCUGAUGGAGCAACGCCGCGUGUGUGAUGAAGGCUUUCGGGUCGUAAAGCACUGUUGUAUGGGAAGAACAGCUAGAAUAGGGAAUGAUUUUAGUUUGACGGUACCAUACCAGAAAGGGACGGCUAAAUACGUGCCAGCCGCCGCCGUAA
Molecule: ribosomal RNA, 513 nt
Filed under: uncultured bacterium
Lineage: Bacteria
Description: partial 16S ribosomal RNA
Rfam family: Bacterial small subunit ribosomal RNA
Source: RNAcentral